RNAcentral lists this ribosomal RNA (301 nucleotides) under uncultured bacterium. RNAcentral's name for it is "partial 16S ribosomal RNA". It matches the Rfam family "Bacterial small subunit ribosomal RNA", at positions 509 to 807 of the family's 1533-position model. The record is from RNAcentral.
CAGCAGCCGCGGUAAAACGGAGGCCUCAAGCGUUGUUCGGAUUCAUUGGGCGUAAAGGGUGCGUAGGCGGUUCCGUAAGUCGGAUGUGAAAUCCUGGGGCUCAACCCCAGAACUGCAUUCGAUACUGCGGGGCUAGAGGACCGGAGAUGAGAGUGGAAUUCACGGUGUAGCAGUGAAAUGCGUAGAGAUGUGGAGGAACACCAGUGGCGAAGGCGACUCUCUGGUCUGUAACUGACGCUGAGGAGCGAAAGCGUGGGGAGCGAACAGGAUUAGAUACCCGCGUAGUCCCUGUCUCUUAUAC